GACGAACGCUGGCGGCGUGCUUAACACAUGCAAGUCGAGCGGUAAGGCCCUUUCGGGGGUACACGAACGGCGAACGGGUGAGUAACACGUGGGUGACCUGCCCUCAGCUCUGGGAUAAGCCUGGGAAACCGGGUCUAAUACUGGAUAUGACUCCAUGACGCAUGUUGUGGGGUGGAAAGCCUUGUGCGGCUGAGGAUGGGCCCGCGGCCUAUCAGCUUGUUGGUGGGGUGAUGGCCUACCAAGGCGACGACGGGUAGCCGGCCUGAGAGGGCGGCCGGCCACACUGGGACUGAGACACGGCCCAGACUCCUACGGGAGGCAGCAGUGGGGAAUCUUGCGCAAUGGGCGAAAGCCUGACGCAGCGACGCCGCGUGAGGGAUGACGGCCU
Molecule: ribosomal RNA, 388 nt
Filed under: uncultured bacterium
Lineage: Bacteria
Description: bacterial SSU rRNA
Rfam family: Bacterial small subunit ribosomal RNA
Source: RNAcentral